UCUGCAGUCUUCUUUCGUGAGUCUUUAUGAGAUGUGAUUAAAAAACGUAACUGCUGCCACUGAGCGCCAUCCAGCGGAGAGGCGGCUUGUAAAAACACGAGACUACGUCCGCAUCCUCCUUGUCACCCGCUCUGACACUGUGAGACUUCUGGAUCUUCCUAAAGUCAGGAUGACCAGGACAGUACCGGGGAUGGAACUCAGGACUUUUCACUUGUGAGGGAUUGAACUUGGGACCUUGUGCUUGCAAGGCAGGAGCUGGAACCACUGAGCUAAAUCCCCGGCUUCACUGAGAUUUUAAAAAAGGAAAGGAAAGGGGAAAGAGAGCC
This 326-nucleotide long non-coding RNA is filed under the name Heterocephalus glaber (naked mole-rat). RNAcentral describes it as "lncRNA (ENSHGLG00000038143.1)". Lineage: Eukaryota; Metazoa; Chordata; Mammalia; Rodentia; Bathyergidae. The record is from RNAcentral.